Molecule: ribosomal RNA, 264 nt
Filed under: uncultured archaeon
Lineage: Archaea
Description: partial 16S ribosomal RNA
Rfam family: Archaeal small subunit ribosomal RNA
Source: RNAcentral
UAGCCGUAAACGAUACUCGCUAGGUGUCGGCCACGGUGCGACCGUUGUCGGUGCCGUAGGGAAGCCGUGAAGCGAGCCACCUGGGAAGUACGGCCGCAAGGCUGAAACUUAAAGGAAUUGGCGGGGGAGGCACCACAACGGGUGGAGCCUGCGGGUUUAAUUUGGACUCAACGCCGGGAAGCUCACCGGAUAAGACAGCGGAAUGAUUGCCGGGCUGAAGACCCUGCAUGACCAGCUGAGAGGUGGUGCAUGGCGUAGUCGUGU